RNAcentral lists this ribosomal RNA (460 nucleotides) under uncultured bacterium. Its description in RNAcentral is "partial 16S ribosomal RNA". It matches the Rfam family "Bacterial small subunit ribosomal RNA", at positions 338 to 795 of the family's 1533-position model. The record is from RNAcentral.
CCUACGGGAGGCAGCAGUGAGGAAUAUUGGUCAAUGGCCGUAAGUCUGAACCAGCCAAGUAGCGUGAGGGAAGACUGCCCUAUGGGUUGUAAACCUCUUUUAUGCGGGGAUAAAGUUUUCCACGUGUGGAUGUUUGCAUGUACCGCAUGAAUAAGGACCGGCUAAUUCCGUGCCAGCAGCCGCGGUAAUACGGAAGGUCCGGGCGUUAUCCGGAUUUAUUGGGUUUAAAGGGAGCGUAGGCCGGUCUUUAAGCUUGCCGUGAAAUUUUGUGGCUCAACCAUGAGAGUGCGGCGCGAACUGGAGACCUUGAGUGCGCGGAAGGCAGGCGGAAUUCGUGGUGUAGCGGUGAAAUGCUUAGAUAUCACGAAGAACCCCGAUUGCGAAGGCAGCCUGCCGCAGUGUGACUGACGCUGAAGCUCGAAAGCGCGGGUAUCGAACAGGAUUAGAUACCCCUGUAGUC